GCCUACGGCCACACCACCCUGAAAAUGCCCGAUCUCGUCUGAUCUCGGAAGCUAAGCAGGGUCGGGUUGGGUUAGUACUUGGAUGGGAGACCGCCUUGGAAUCUCGGGUGCUGUAGGCU
This is a ribosomal RNA of Melopsittacus undulatus (budgerigar), 119 nucleotides long. Lineage: Eukaryota; Metazoa; Chordata; Aves; Psittaciformes; Psittaculidae. The record is from Ensembl.